GCAUCAAUGGGGUAGUGGUAACCUGGGUCGUUGCCAUGUUCAUGACUGUCCCAUCUAUAACUGAGCUUCGACCCGCCGAGGGUUCGAUUCCCUCUUGAUGCA
Molecule: transfer RNA, 102 nt
Filed under: Dendrothele bispora CBS 962.96
Lineage: Eukaryota; Fungi; Basidiomycota; Agaricomycetes; Agaricales
Description: tRNA-Gly
Rfam family: tRNA
About the family: Transfer RNA (tRNA) molecules are approximately 80 nucleotides in length.
Source: RNAcentral